GAUGAACGCUGGCGGCGUGCCUAAUACAUGCAAGUCGAGCGAACAGACGAGGAGCUUGCUCCUCUGACGUUAGCGGCGGACGGGUGAGUAACACGUGGAUAACCUACCUAUAAGACUGGGAUAACUUCGGGAAACCGGAGCUAAUACCGGAUAAUAUAUUGAACCGCAUGGUUCAAUAGUGAAAGACGGUUUUGCUGUCACUUAUAGAUGGAUCCGCGCCGCAUUAGCUAGUUGGUAAGGUAACGGCUUACCAAGGCAACGAUGCGUAGCCGACCUGAGAGGGUGAUCGGCCACACUGGAACUGAGACACGGUCCAGACUCCUACGGGAGGCAGCAGUAGGGAAUCUUCCGCAAUGGGCGAAAGCUUGACGGAGCAACGCCGCGUGAGUGAUGAAGGUCUGCGGAUCAUAAACUCUGUUAUUAGGGAAGAACAAAUGUGUAAGUAACUAUGCACGUCUUGACGGUACCUAAUCAGAAAGCCACGGCUAACUACGUG
RNAcentral lists this ribosomal RNA (496 nucleotides) under uncultured bacterium. Its description in RNAcentral is "partial 16S ribosomal RNA". It matches the Rfam family "Bacterial small subunit ribosomal RNA", at positions 28 to 507 of the family's 1533-position model. The record is from RNAcentral.